This 253-nucleotide ribosomal RNA is filed under the name uncultured bacterium. RNAcentral describes it as "partial 16S ribosomal RNA". It matches the Rfam family "Bacterial small subunit ribosomal RNA", at positions 524 to 776 of the family's 1533-position model. The record is from RNAcentral.
UACAGAGGGUGCAAGCGUUAAUCGGAAUUACUGGGCGUAAAGCGUGCGUAGACGGUUACAUAAGUCGGGUGUGAAAGCCCCGGGCUCAACCUGGGAAUUGCAUUCGAGACUGCGUAGCUAGGGUGCGGAAGAGGGAAGCGGAAUUUCCGGUGUAGCGGUGAAAUGCGUAGAUAUCGGGAGGAACACCGGUGGCGAAGGCGGCGACCUGGGUCGAGACUGACGCUGAGGCGCGAAAGCCAGGGGAGCAAACGGG